RNAcentral lists this ribosomal RNA (497 nucleotides) under uncultured bacterium. RNAcentral's name for it is "partial 16S ribosomal RNA". It matches the Rfam family "Bacterial small subunit ribosomal RNA", at positions 28 to 507 of the family's 1533-position model. The record is from RNAcentral.
GAUGAACGCUGGCGGCGUGCCUAAUACAUGCAAGUCGAGCGAACGGACGAGAAGCUUGCUUCUCUGAUGUUAGCGGCGGACGGGUGAGUAACACGUGGAUAACCUACCUAUAAGACUGGGAUAACUUCGGGAAACCGGAGCUAAUACCGGAUAAUAUUUUGAACCGCAUGGUUCAAAAGUGAAAGACGGUCUUGCUGUCACUUAUAGAUGGAUCCGCGCUGCAUUAGCUAGUUGGUAAGGUAACGGCUUACCAAGGCAACGAUGCAUAGCCGACCUGAGAGGGUGAUCGGCCACACUGGAACUGAGACACGGUCCAGACUCCUACGGGAGGCAGCAGUAGGGAAUCUUCCGCAAUGGGCGAAGGCCUGACGGAGCAACGCCGCGUGAGUGAUGAAGGCCUUCGGAUCGUAAAACUCUGUUAUUAGGGAAGAACAUAUGUGUAAGUAACUGUGCACAUCUUGACGGUACCUAAUCAGAAAGCCACGGCUAACUACGUG